AUCCUUAAACAUGACACUCUAUUAUUCAUUUAUUGGUGAGGUACAAAAAGAAAAUUCUACAAUAAAAAAUCCCUUGAGAGUUUGCCAUUUAUGGUAGAUCUGAUCGCCUCUUAUCGAAGGGGAAAUGAGGAAGAUCAGAUCUGAUUAAAUUUACCAUAAAAAAACCAAAAUACAGAUCCGAUCUUUAUUUAUCCAUCAAAUCCGAUCAGAUCUACCAUCAAAAAACUGAAAUACAGAUCAGUAAUAAGAGGAAAAUGAAAUACACAUCAACACUCGUUAAUGGUGACAACCAUGAAAGUGGAUAUUACACGAACAAACGCAUCACCAUCUUCCUCCUUUCCCCUCCGAUCACAUCCACAACAUUCCUCCGCCACCGUUCCACCCCGUCGCCGCCACGCUACAACUCUUUUUCUUCCUCCGGCACUACCUCCUCCUCCACCGUUCAAUCCCUACCACCGAUCAGUCUGAGAAUGGAUGAAGAUGAAAAUGGAAG
Molecule: long non-coding RNA, 493 nt
Filed under: Panax ginseng (ginseng)
Lineage: Eukaryota; Viridiplantae; Streptophyta; Magnoliopsida; Apiales; Araliaceae
Description: long non-coding RNA (PGIN_LNC012724)
Source: RNAcentral